AUUGAACGCUGGCGGCAGGCCUAACACAUGCAAGUCGAGCGGUAGCACAGAGAGCUUGCUCUCGGGUGACGAGCGGCGGACGGGUGAGUAAUGUCUGGGAAACUACCUGAUGGAGGGGGAUAACUACUGGAAACGGUAGCUAAUACCGCAUAACGUCGCAAGACCAAAGAGGGGGACCUUCGGGCCUCUUGCCAUCAGAUGUGCCCAGAUGGGAUUAGCUAGUAGGUGGGGUAACGGCUCACCUAGGCGACGAUCCCUAGCUGGUCUGAGAGGAUGACCAGCCACACUGGAACUGAGACACGGUCCAGACUCCUACGGGAGGCAGCAGUGGGGAAUAUUGCACAAUGGGCGCAAGCCUGAUGCAGCCAUGCCGCGUGUAUGAAGAAGGCCUUCGGGUUGUAGAGUACUUUCAGCGGGGAGGAAGGUGUUGAGGUUAAUAACCUCAGCAAUUGACGUUACCCGCAGAAGAAGCACCGGCUAACUCCGUGCCAGCAGCCGCAGUAA
RNAcentral lists this ribosomal RNA (504 nucleotides) under uncultured bacterium. Its description in RNAcentral is "partial 16S ribosomal RNA". It matches the Rfam family "Bacterial small subunit ribosomal RNA", at positions 30 to 523 of the family's 1533-position model. The record is from RNAcentral.